CCCGCCGCUUCUCUCUCUCUCUCUCUUCAUGAGUUGAUGAAUGGCAGGUUGGUUUUCAAUUGGAAUUUUGUAAGGUGUUUUUGCAUGUGUAGUGCGGCGGUGGGUGCUGAUAUGGUGGUGGCUCUACCUUGUUGUCUCAUGCUUUUCUUUGGUUGUUUUGCUUUUUGGGGUUCACUAUUACAUUUCUUUCUUUUUGGUUGAUUGCUUGCAAUUAACCACAAAACUACAAAUCUCCAUUGUUAAGCAAAUUUCAAGUGAAAACUUAUAUUGUUCUUAAUUACCUACAACUUUAAUUAAUGGAUUCG
This 305-nucleotide unclassified non-coding RNA is filed under the name Hevea brasiliensis (rubber tree). Lineage: Eukaryota; Viridiplantae; Streptophyta; Magnoliopsida; Malpighiales; Euphorbiaceae. The record is from RNAcentral.